AUUGAACGCUGGCGGCAGGCCUAACACAUGCAAGUCGAACGAGUGGCGGACGGGUGAGUAAUGUCUGGGAAACUGCCUGAUGGAGGGGGAUAACUACUGGAAACGGUAGCUAAUACCGCAUACCAUUGGAUGUGCCCAGAUGGGAUUAGCUAGUAGGUGGGGUAAAGGCUCACCUAGGCGACGAUCCCUAGCUGGUCUGAGAGGAUGCCCAGCAACACUGAAACUGUGGCACGGGCCAGAGUCCUAGGGGAGGCAGCAGUGGGUAAUAUUGGACAAUGGGCGCAAGCCUGAUGCGAGCAUGCCGGGUGUAUGAGGAAGGGCUUAGGGUUGUAAAGUUCUCUCAGCCGGGAGGCGUUACCCGGAGAUGAAGCGCCGGCUAACUCCGUGCAAGCAGCCGCGGUAAUUC
Molecule: ribosomal RNA, 406 nt
Filed under: uncultured bacterium
Lineage: Bacteria
Description: partial 16S ribosomal RNA
Rfam family: Bacterial small subunit ribosomal RNA
Source: RNAcentral